AUGACAUGCUGUGUUAUCCUUCACAAUAUGAUUCUUGAAGAUGAGAGAGGAAUGAACUUGGAAUUCUUCUACGACAAUGUGGGUAGCCGUGUCAAACUAGCUAGAGACCCUAACCGCAUUAGAGCUUUUCUUCAGACAUACAAGGAGAUUGAAAAUGCAAACACACACUUUCAACUUUAGGAGGAUCUCAUUGAGCACCAUUGGCAAAGGGCUGGACAGUAA
RNAcentral lists this ribosomal RNA (222 nucleotides) under Triticum aestivum (bread wheat). RNAcentral's name for it is "partial small subunit ribosomal RNA". Lineage: Eukaryota; Viridiplantae; Streptophyta; Magnoliopsida; Poales; Poaceae. The record is from RNAcentral.